UGCAAACUGCGGGGCAGCGGCCAGGGUAAGACAGAGGGGGCAAGCGGUAAUCGGAAUUACGGGGCGGAAAGCGGGCGGAGGGGGUGAUGUAAGUCGGGUGGGAAAGCCGCGGGCUCAACCGGGGAAGGGCAUUCAGGACUGGAUAGCGAGGGGGUGGAAGAGGGAAGCGGAAUUUCCGGUGUAGCGGUGAAAUGCGUAGAUAUCGGAAGGAACACCAGUGGCGAAAGCGGCUACCUGGUCUAGCACUGACGCUCAGGUACGAAAGCGUGGGGAGCAAACAGGAUUAGAUACCCUUGUAGUC
This 301-nucleotide ribosomal RNA is filed under the name uncultured Methanopyrus sp. RNAcentral describes it as "bacterial SSU rRNA". It matches the Rfam family "Bacterial small subunit ribosomal RNA", at positions 495 to 795 of the family's 1533-position model. The record is from RNAcentral. Lineage: Archaea; Methanobacteriati; Methanobacteriota; Methanopyri; Methanopyrales; Methanopyraceae.